CCAUGGUCAGGGAGGGCUUCUCGAUCCUGCUCGGCGUCCAGCCGGGGAUCGAGGUGGCCGGCACGGCCGUCGACGGCGCCGACGCCGUGGCCAAGGCC
RNAcentral lists this transfer RNA (98 nucleotides) under Herbidospora sp. NBRC 101105. RNAcentral's name for it is "tRNA-Gly". Lineage: Bacteria; Bacillati; Actinomycetota; Actinomycetes; Streptosporangiales; Streptosporangiaceae. The record is from RNAcentral.